Molecule: ribosomal RNA, 1774 nt
Filed under: Sternothyrus braueri
Lineage: Eukaryota; Metazoa; Arthropoda; Arachnida; Holothyrida; Holothyridae
Description: SSU rRNA
Rfam family: Eukaryotic small subunit ribosomal RNA
Source: RNAcentral
GCUUGUCUCAAAGAUUAAGCCAUGCAUGUCUAAGUACAUACCUCAAAAUGGUGAAACCGCGAAUGGCUCAUUAAAUCAGUUAUGGUUCCUUAGAAACAUACUUCCUACUUGGAUAUCUGUGGCAAUUCUAGAGCUAAUACAUGCACUAAACUCCGAUGCCCUUCAAGGCGACGAGUGCUUUUAUUAGACCAAGACCAAUCGGACUUCGGUCCGUCAUGUUGUGGUGACUCUGGAUAACUUUGUGCCGAUCGCACGGCCAAGAGCCGGCGACGAUUCUUUCAAGUGUCUGCCUUAUCAACUGUCGAUGGUAGGUUAUGCGCCUACCAUGGUUGUGACGGGUAACGGAGAAUCAGGGUUCGAUUCCGGAGAGGGAGCCUGAGAGACGGCUACCACAUCCAAGGAAGGCAGCAGGCGCGCAAAUUACCCACUCCCGGCACGGGGAGGUAGUGACGAAAAAUAACAAUACGGGACUCUAAUGAGGCCCCGUAAUUGAAAUGAGUACACUCUAAAUCCUUGUACGAGGAUCAAUUGGAGGGCAAGUCUGGUGCCAGCAGCCGCGGUAAUUCCAGCUCCAAUAGCGUAUACUAAAGUUGUUGCGGUUAAAAAGCUCGUAGUUGGAUCUCAGUUCCAGACGGGAAGUACAUCGAACCGAUGUUACCGCCCGAACUGAACAUAAUGCCAGCUGUUUCUUGGUCCUCUUCAUUGGGUGCCUUGAGGCGGUCGGUGCAUUUACUUUGAAAAAAUUAGAGUGCUUAACGCAGGCGCACCGCCUGAAUAACGAUGCAUGGAAUAAUAGAGCAAGACCUCGUGUCUGUUUUGUUGGUUUUUGGAAAACGAGGUAAUGAUUAAGAGGGACAGACGGGGGCAUUCGUAUUGCGGCGCUAGAGGUGAAAUUCUUGGACCGUCGCAAGACGAACUACUGCGAAAGCAUUUGCCAAGAAUGUUUUCAUUGAUCAAGAACGAAAGUUAGAGGUUCGAAGGCGAUCAGAUACCGCCCUAGUUCUAACCAUAAACGAUGCCAACCAGCAAUCCGCCAGAGUUCCUCAAAUGACUCGGCGGGCAACUUCCGGGAAACCAAAGUAUUCGGGUUCCGGGGGAAGUAUGGUUGCAAAGCUGAAACUUAAAGGAAUUGACGGAAGGGCACCACCAGGAGUGGAGCCUGCGGCUUAAUUUGACUCAACACGGGAAAACUUACCCGGCCCGGACACUGGGAGGAUUGACAGAUUGAGAGCUCUUUCUUGAUUCGGUGGAUGGUGGUGCAUGGCCGUUCUUAGUUGGUGGAGCGAUUUGUCUGGUUAAUUCCGAUAACGAACGAGACUCUAGCCUAUUAAAUAGGUGCUAGGCCCAUUGUGCCUUGCAACCUUCUUAGAGGGACAAGCGGCCUUCUAGCCGCACGAAACAGAGCAAUAACAGGUCUGUGAUGCCCUUAGAUGUCCGGGGCCGCACGCGCGCUACACUGAAGGACACAGCGUGUGCAUACCCCUCUCCGAAAGGAAUGGGUAACCCGUGGAACAUCCUUCGUGAUUGGGAUAGGGGCUUGAAAUUGUUCCCCUUGAACGAGGAAUUCCCAGUAAGCGCGAGUCAUAAGCUUGCGUUGAUUACGUCCCUGCCCUUUGUACACACCGCCCGUCGCUACUACCGAUUGAAUGAUUUAGUGAGGUCUUCGGACCGAAACCCGGAGAGGCCCUUUGGGUUGCGCCGGCGUGUCGGAAAGAUGACCAAACUUGAUCAUUUAGAGGAAGUAAAAGUCGUAACAAGGUUUCCGUAGGUAACC